This 2741-nucleotide long non-coding RNA is filed under the name Nicotiana benthamiana. RNAcentral describes it as "long non-coding RNA (NBEN_LNC005905)". The record is from RNAcentral. Lineage: Eukaryota; Viridiplantae; Streptophyta; Magnoliopsida; Solanales; Solanaceae.
GGGAAGUUAAAAAGGCUAGCCCAAAAAUACAAGAGUAUAAAAUUCAUUUUCCCAUGUUUUCCGGUCUGGGCCCAAAAUAAGCCCAAUUCUCAAAAUAGCAGACAUUAAGAAUGCAAUACGUGCAUGUGAGUCUAAAGGGGGCGUUCCUUUGCUAGGACAACGUAAACCCCAAAUUUCAGGAAAAUCAAUCGUGAACAUAAUAUCAACAAAAUCCAAAUCCAAUCAAAACAUACAAUUGAAUUAAUAAUUUGCUUCUAAAUUUUAACAAUUCAAUCACAAAUUAGCUAGCUAAUCAUUCUGAAAUUCAAACAUCAAUCCCAACUUAACAUGCUCACACACAACCAAUUACACUAAUAGCCUGCCUUGACUCGUAAAAGCACUCUCAACCAUUUUUCCCUUCUUGUAUUAACAUGAAUUAUACACUAAUCAACUACUUAAUAACAUAAGUCAGACAGGCUCCUCUCAGAACUACCCAAAUCCAAAAAAAAAUAUCAGCAUGCAGAUUACUUGGACCUAAAAACAACAUGCAUUCAUUCUUUUAAAUAUGUACGUAUUGAAAGAAAAGGCUGAACUAACAGGCAGCCACCACAUAGACUUUUAUACCAUCCAAACACACGAGCAAAGUGUAAUUCAUUUCAAUCAAUGUCCUUUUCAAUCCUCAACAAAUUCUGGGAAAGCAACCAAAAAAACCUAUCCACCCCAAAUCCAAUAUGACAUAAAAUCAUAGCCUUACUCUAUCGUAAUUGGAGCAUAGAGAGGUCUCAAAUACAAGAUCCACUUCAACUAUACUGAUAUUACAACUAACAAGAUGUUCAUGCCUGAAUUCGAGACAAAGUAGGACUUACAAAAACAACAUGAGACUUAAAUUCAAUUAACUCUCCUAACCUUAAUAAAGCCCAGGGAAUUAAAGCAAACUAAGUCAGCAAACAUGAAUAAAAGUCAAAUUACAACUCCAAACAUUGGUCUUAAUGUUCAUAGCAUGACCUUACAUUAAACAUGAUAAGGCAGAGUAAUUGAACCAACAAGUCGAAUGAAAAAAAAAAGUAGAGAGAAACAUCUAAUAAAAAAGAAAAUAUCUUCAUUUAUUCAAAAGAGAACCACAUGGGCCAAUCUCUACAUGCUCAAGACAAGGAUGUGUACCUAGUAACAAAUAGCAAAUAAAUGAGAAAAAAGGAGUUGGUUAAAAUAGAAGCACCAGCAGUAGAAGAACUCAGUAAUGCUAUAGUAAUAGCAAUCAAAACACAGAUUUCAAUAACCAGGACCCAAAUGAUUCAAAACCAACCCUUAAAUUAGUAAUGAAACAGUAGGAACCACAGAAAAUCAAAAAGCAAACUCUGAAACACCAGAACUCAAACCAUUUUUAUCCCAAAAAAUGCAAACCAUGAAUUUUCAAUGGUUCGAGCCAAGUUAUCAAGACAAGGAGAACAAGAAUCUGAGCCUAGCUUUAGUAAAUUUUCAAGAAAAUGCCAGGAAUUCAAGGUUGUUUCAAAGAUUUUUAGAGAAAGAAGCAGUCGUUUUUUAUUUUUUAGUCUUUUUCUUUGUAUUUUCUGAUUUGAGUGUCAAGUUAAGGUGCCUUUAUAGGCAAGCUACUAGGGCAGCCUAAAGAAAAUCAGGUUUGCACUUUGUACCUUUUGAAAUUUUCAUUUUAGCCUUGGUGCCCUUAGAUUAAUUUUCAAAACUUCAAAUAAGUCCCUAGCCCAUCUUCCUAGAAGCUUCCUUUGGUUAGUUAUUGAAAUAUUCCAUAUACCAAUUACCUAGACUACCCAUAAAAUUCCUACUGUUUAACCCUAAAUUGUUACCUUGGGUUAAUUUAAACAAAAAUCCAACUAAACCAGCCCUUUUAACUAGGUCAGUGGUGACCGUAUUUACUAUGAGGGUCUUAGGUACUCAGAAAUGACAAAACGAAACCAAAGAAAAGAAAAGAAUCCAAAACUUUGAGGGUAAACACAAACACUUCUGAUUUUAGGCAUGAAUUAUUUUUUAACUAUUCUAACUCAGAAUUGACUAUUGUAGGUCAUCAAUUAAACACAUAAAAUGAAACAAAUAAGAUUAAACACAUAAAAACAGAAAACACUACCUUAUAAAAGAUCAGUGAGAAAAAGGAGGGGGAAAAUUAGGAAUUUAAAACCUAAAACCUAAGGAAACAUGGGCAAACAAACUCAGGGGACAACUAUUAGCGAUUGCGAAAAAAAACUAAAAUGAAGGGGAAACAAGUACAAACAAGCAAAUUAACCUAAAGGGAAGAAACUAGGUUCAAACCAAUUUUAGUCAAAAGAAAACUCAAAUACGAGGUGAAACAACAAGAGUGAACAAAAGACUACGAGAAACUCACCGAUUCAGGCUCGAACUUGACUGACCCUCCUAUUUGAGUCUCAAGAUAAUGUUAAUUAUUUGUUUUUUGCCAAGAACAAAUGAAAAACAUUAUUUUGCGACAAAACUGACCCUAAAACACAUGAGAAACUGGAACAUUGACCUUGCAUGUGUAAUUUUGAUUUUAGGCUUUUAGGGUUCGACUAUCUGAUUCAAUAUUUGAACAUUUCUGGCAAGUUUUGAGGGAAAACAAGUGAUGUUUUGGAAAGAGGGGAGCAAGGGGGUCGGGGUGUUAUUUUGGUGGUGUUUGGAGGUGGCGCCGCCAUUCUAAGACGGUGGGAAAAGUAGAGUGGCGGUCUCUAGGGUUGUGGGAGUUUGAAAAGAGAGAGGGGUGUGAGAGAGAUUAUGGGAGAGGGGGUGAGCGUUUGGAC